UGUAAAAGGUUCGGGGUUUUGUUUAACCAUUUCUGCAUGUGUUUUUAAUGAGCUCAUGAUGGUUUCGAACAAAGGCCAGGUUGUGUGUUUUUACAGCAUUUUCUGACCUGAUUCCUCCCUGCUGACUUGGGGAGUGGGCACCUGUGCUUCUCUCCUGGCUCACCUAUGGGAGCCGAGGUGUUGGGGCCAUCUCCGGGCCUGUCUUCCUGCCAGGGAUGAAUCAUGCAGAAGGCAGAAGGGAAGGAGUCUCUUUGUUGACAGCUUUCCAUCUGGACUUUGGAUAUGGCUGAUGGUUCAUGUAGAGCUUUGUUUAGCUGGAAGGCCCAAUGGAAGUCAGCUCCUCUGCAAGGGGUCAAGAAUGUGUAAAACAUCAGUGAGGAACUGCCUAGGAUUUCAUCUGCAAGGCUCAGAGAAGCAUUUGCCUCUCUGAGUUUCAGGAACCCAGAUGCUCCAAACCCCAAUGCCCCGGGCAUGCUAUUGUUCAAUGGGAGAAUAGGAGCGAGGAGAAGGGUAACUAUUUCUUUCUGUGUGUGUGUGUGAAUCUGGAGGAACUAGACUCAUCUCUGGGAUUCAGUGAUAAGCCAGAAUUCCACACAGUCUCUUUUUCAAGGAGGAAAAAUGCCCCUGAAACUGAACUUCUCGAAACUGAACAAAGGUGUCAUCUCUAAUGAUUAGCAGGACGCUCAGAUUGUUUGCACCGAAAUCCACCUGCUCUGUGAAAACCCCAGGAUUUUCUCACUUUCCCACUCAAGCUGCUUAGCGACUGGGCCCUCUCUCCCGAGCGUGGUUGUGUGUCAGUUUGGCGUCUGUGUGCCCUGCCAUUUCAUUAUUUUCUUGUGCCCUUCCACAACAAAUGAGCAGGAGUGGGGCGGGGCGGGGCAGCCUGCUGACAGAGGGGGACAGGCCCCCGUAUCCAUCUUACAGUCCUGCCAUGGGCUGCCUGUCCUUCUAGACAGGAGUCCUUGGAGGCAUUCCUAGGUGUGUUUUGAACGUGUGCCCGAGGCUUGGGAAAGCCUCGUGCGGCUCUGCUGCUGCGUGGGGUGGAGGUUUGAGGGGGUGGACUGCAGCAGCGUGAGGCUUGUGUGUGCAGAGGGGACAUGAGGACAUCUGGACUGCCUCCCUGUGAGCAGGGCUCCCGCUGCAGGCCUUUGAAAACUCGGCCACAACAGCCCCCAGCGCCUUGGAACUUUCUCCCUGGAGGAUGUAGAAGAGCCAGUGCCCUUGAUUUCUUGGAUGUCCACAGACUUGACCCAGGCAGGGCUGCCCAGGAGCAGUCAGGGUCAGAGUGAGGGCUUGGGAGCAUUCCACAAAGUGCCUGUUUCCGAGAGCCUGGAACUGGGAGUGAGGGGGUGACAUGGGCUUUGCCCUCAAGUCCUCUGCUAACUAGCUGUGCGUUCCUGAACAAGUGACUUCAUCUCUUCAUCUUUAAAGUAAACCUUUUGGGGCAAAUGACUUUAAGGUUCUUGCCAGCUCUAAAUUCUUGGGAUUUUUUUUUUACCUGUUUAACUGAAAUGCUGAUCGAACUUGGGCUAGGAACAAAGAAAUACUUUCCAAUUAGAGUAGAAAUGGUGACUAAUAUGCUGCUCAGGCUUCUGAGGCUCCUUGUGAUCAAAGACACACUCAUUCUGAUAAAGGGGGGUCAUGGGCCUGGCUGGGGAGCGUUUCCACCAGCCUGUGGGUUUUAAUAUCUAACUACAUUUAUGCCUGUGGAUGGUAGCCACGUGCUAGACACGUGCUUUCUUGCCUUUGGUCAAGUCCAAUGGGUUUUGGGUUAAUUUUUAUUUUUUAGUAGAAGAAACCCAGAGAUCCUAAAUAGAAGGCAAGAGCUUAUUUAGUUGCACAUUUUUUUAAAUCCCUAAACACCUGCUGUUAAGAAAGGUGAUGGGGACAGUAUCACCUUUGUUCUUGUUGGUGGUGGUUAUUUUAACUAGCAAUGAACAAGGACAGACUCCUCCUGAGAGGCUUCCUAGCUAGGGAGUCAUUCCCAUUAGCCCCAUUAGCAAAGUGGUUUUCUGUCUGUUCAGCUGCCUCACAGUCUUGGUUGGACAGCUCCCUGCCACCUUCCAACACAGGAGCUUGCCUACAAAAAGGCUAACUCUGGUAGAAAGCAGCUUCAACCAGAAGGGGACACCCCAAAGACCAUUGCUAUGGAUGUGGUUCAUGGGAUGUGGAGCGUCCAAAUGCAUUGCUGACGGGCCUAAAGAUCAGAGAUCACCUGAGUAAGGUAGAGACUGUGUCACACUUGCAAAUGAACAUUCAAAUCACACAAGACCAAAUUGUUAGUGGCAAUCAUAAAAAUGCCACCGUCCGCCAUCCGCAGCCAGGCCCCUCACCUCAUCCUUCCCUUUAUUUCAAGCGUGUACUUAAUCCAUUUCAGUAUGAAGGAAACCUCUACCCGUGCUGUGCGAAGAAACAGUCCAAGAGGAUGAUUGUGGACUCAUUUGCAUAAGAGUCUAACUCAAAUAUUUUCACUUUAAUUUUUUUUUUUUUUUCAUGCUGGAGUCACAAAGUAAAAGGGUUGAGGAAUUCAAGAUUAGCAUGUAAGUGAGACUGAAAUAGGACUAUGUUCUCAUAUUAGUUAAAACUCUUUGGUUUCAAGGAAGAGAAAUCCAACUUAAGCGAGUUGAAGCCAAAAAAGAAUUUUAUUAUAAGGCUCUUGGACUCCUGGGAAUCCAAAAGAGGAAUAUAGAUAGGCCUCUCCAGCAGCUAGAAGUAGGAGCUCAAAGGCUGUCUGGAUGUGCUCUCCCCUCCGAGCCGCUGACUCUCUUUCUGCUGAUUGGCAUUUUCUAUUCCUCAGUCCACAUGGUGGAACAGGGCUGCCAACUGCUGCUGCAUUUAUAAGUCUUCAUCUUCAGACACCCGGAGAGAGACUGACUUCUUUUGUCAGUUGCAGUUUCCAAAUCCUGGGCGAGGGCUCUGAUUGGCCUGCUUGGAUCAGGUGCUCCUCUCUUGACCAAUGGUCGGUGCCAAGGGCGAGGCCCAUUGUACCUCCAGGCAGUCCCCUGUGGGCCUCAUGUCGUUGAGGACACAUGUGUGUGUGCAGGGGCCAGGGAGCAGCUCCCAGGAGACUGGGAGAUGGUUCCCUGAGAUGAGGCUGGUGUUGAGCUGACAAAACAAUAGGGACCCAUUACGUUGCUCAAUUAAAAUGAAAGGGAAGCCAUGGGAAAAUAGGAUUCACUUGGAAGUGAAAAUAACGUAUUCUCCCUGUGGUCAAACAGCACUUCAUUUGUAAUCUAUGGCCAAAUGGCUAAGUGAAAUAGUACUGUAUGUUUUAAAGGAUUGUAAAAUUUUAAUGAAUUUUCAUUUAACUUGUUACAGCUAAUCUUCCUCCCUUGUCAUUUCAUAAUUUAGGGGCAUGUUCAUCUAUAUUUUUCUGAAAGCCUGAGCUGGCUGGUCCUGCUGAAGCCAUGGAACUCAAUGGUUGAGCUUACCUCUCAGCUACUUAAUACCCACGCAGGUGCCGUGUGGGCGGGGCAGGGCUGGUGGGACAGCAGAACACACACACACACACACACACACACACAAAGAAGACCUUUUCCCCUUUUUCUUUGUUUGGGACACGCAGAGAUGCUGUGUUAAUGAAGAGCCCUGCAUUGCAGCAGGUGUGAAAUGUGCUCUGUCCACCUGGGGACACAAGAAUCAGUGAGGCAAGAGCCCCAUGGUUGGUUAAUGUGCAUGAGGCCCUCAGAGCCCAAGCACCUACAGGUUAUCACCCAGGGUAUUAGCUACCAGCAAAGCCGCACUAACCCUCUCCUGUGCUUCCAGCGCCACCCUCCUGACACACAUCUGUCUCCUGGAAGGAGAAGCUGAGCCUCAGGGAGAGGACCACGUGUUUGUUUUAAAUGGCAAACACAGCCGGUUUGGGUGUGUGGCUCACCACUCCAUAGGUAUUCAUUUUCCCAUUGCUAAAGUUGCAAAGCAAUCAGAAGAAUGAUGGGUAAGAGAUUGAAGGAAGCUCCUGAUCAGAGUUAGAUCCUCAAGGUCAAGGUAGAGAAGCAUUGAUUCAGGAUGUCACAGAUUGUAGAAAACAAGGAUGGACAUUUGAGGCACUCUGGACUUUGGGCUUGCUUUUUCUGCUCAAAUUAUUGUGAUUUGUAUUCCGGAGAUUUUAGGCACUGACAAAAGAUGCUGUCUCCAGCCUUUGUUGAUCUCUCUCUCCACCUGCCUGCCUCAUGGAGAGGGUGCAGGUCCUGGCCUCACCACUUCAUGGCUGUGUGAACUUAGGCAUGUGACAGACUCAGUUCCUCACUAAAAUAGAGAUUUCAGCCACUCCCUCUGAGAAGGGCAAUGAGGACUGGUGAGUUGAUACCUUUCAGGUGACAGCAAACGACCUCAGACUAGCUUGGGAAAGAAGGGAGUCUAUGAACUCACAUAACCAGCAAUCUGGAAGUGGCAAUGGCCUCGGGUAUGAAUGGAUACAGGGACUCAGGUGAUAAUAUUAAAGUUCUCCCCUUCUGUGUUUCCUGUCUCCAUCCCAUCUUCGUGAGGUUACUUCUGUAUUUCCUGCUGGAAAUGGGCAGGCUUUCUUCACAUGACAGGGGCAGAAAGAGGCCGAGAGAAAGAGUUGAAGGGCUGAAGCACAGAAGAGGGAGAUUUUACCCAGAAGUCAACAAUAGGUUCUAUUCCUGGGUUCCUGCCUAGGAAAAGCAAAUGUAAGGUGGGUGGGAAAACAGUGAUAAGAUAAAGGGAAAAUAUUUAUUAGGCGAUGACUGCACACUUGACCCAGAGGAUACAGCAGUCCCUGGCCUCAUGGAACUUCCCCCCUGCUAACAAAACAAUGAAACAAAAAUGGUCAUAAACUAUCACACUGUUGUAAAAGCAAAGUACACAGCAAGUAGGACCUCACUGAAAAGGGGGUCCAGCCUGAUGAUGUGCAGGAGAAAACUUAUAGGAGGAAGCAAUAGUAAAAUAGAGUUUAGACUUGGCGCCUGGGGCUCGAGCGGCUAGGGCACCAGCCACAUACACCUGAGCUGGCAGGUUCGAAUCCAGCCCAGCCCCGCCAAACAACAAUGACGGCUGCAACCAAAAAAUGGCCAGGUGUUGUGGCAGGUGCCUGUAGUCCCAGCUACUGGGGAGGCAGAGGCAGGAGAAUCGCUUGACCCCAGGAGUUGGAGGUUGCUGUGAGCCGUAAUGCCACAGCACUCUACCCAGGGUGACAGCUUGAGGCUCUGUCUCAAAAAAAAAAAAAAAAAAGAAAGAAAGAAAGGAAAAUAGUUUAGCCUAUAAAUAAGAGGGUGGAAGAGUGUUCUGGGGGAGGGAUCAGCAAGAAGACAAGAAAGAGAACAAGGCAGAUUUGAGGAACCUGUUCGAUCUUUCUCUGUUCAGUCCUCCUGACUAGAGCACUGGGGGGCCGGGGG
Long non-coding RNA from Nycticebus coucang (slow loris), 5357 nucleotides. RefSeq lists it as uncharacterized. Lineage: Eukaryota; Metazoa; Chordata; Mammalia; Primates; Lorisidae. The transcript has 3 exons. The record is from RefSeq and is a predicted model, not a curated record.